GAAAUGCACUACUGUAAGUCGCUCUGGAUAAGAGCGUCAGCUAAAUGACUCAAA
This is a non-coding RNA of Salmo salar (Atlantic salmon), 54 nucleotides long. The record is from Rfam. Lineage: Eukaryota; Metazoa; Chordata; Actinopteri; Salmoniformes; Salmonidae.